UGGCGGCCUUAGCGCGGUGGUCCCACCUGACCCCAUGCCGAACUCAGAAGUGAAACGCCGUAGCGCCGAUGGUAGUGUGGGGUUUCCCCAUGUGAGAGUAGGGAACUGCCAGGCA
RNAcentral lists this ribosomal RNA (115 nucleotides) under Escherichia coli M605. Lineage: Bacteria; Pseudomonadati; Pseudomonadota; Gammaproteobacteria; Enterobacterales; Enterobacteriaceae. The record is from RNAcentral.